UAAGGUUGAGGUAGUAGAUUGAAUAGUUGUGGGGUUUACGUCCUCCUUUUGAGAUAACUAUACAAUCUACUGUCUUUCCUAA
Non-coding RNA from Oreochromis niloticus (Nile tilapia), 82 nucleotides. NCBI's taxonomy places the organism in Eukaryota, Metazoa, Chordata, Actinopteri, Cichliformes, Cichlidae. The record is from Rfam.